UCCCAUCCCGAACAGAGAAGUUAAGCCCGGACGCGCCGAUGGUACUGGGGUCACACCCGGGAGAGUAGGUGGCCGCCAACC
RNAcentral lists this ribosomal RNA (81 nucleotides) under Pontibacter cellulosilyticus. The record is from RNAcentral. Lineage: Bacteria; Pseudomonadati; Bacteroidota; Cytophagia; Cytophagales; Hymenobacteraceae.